This 253-nucleotide ribosomal RNA is filed under the name uncultured bacterium. Its description in RNAcentral is "partial 16S ribosomal RNA". It matches the Rfam family "Bacterial small subunit ribosomal RNA", at positions 524 to 776 of the family's 1533-position model. The record is from RNAcentral.
UACGUAGGGUGCGAGCGUUGUCCGGAAUUAUUGGGCGUAAAGGGCUCGUAGGCGGUUUGUCGCGUCGGGAGUGAAAACCUCGGGCUUAACUCGGGGCUUGCUUUCGAUACGGGCAGACUGGAGGUAUGCAGGGGAGAACGGAAUUCCUGGUGUAGCGGUGAAAUUCGUAGAUAUCGGGAGGAACACCAGUGGCGAAGGCGGCGACCUGGGCCAAUACUGACGCUGAGGUGCGAAAGCGUGGGGAGCAAACAGG